UGGUGCACCUUUGCAUCAUUUGAAUUUAAAAAAUAAUAGCAACACGCUACAGCCAAAUUGCCAAACCCCAAACACAGAAGGUUUCCAUCACAAAUUCACAAUAGCAUAAAUUAAUAAAAGGACGUUGGAGUCAAAACGGUGGCAUAGCAAGACUACUAUGCAGCAGCAACACCACUCGAGUCUGGUCCAUCACAAAAGCAUAAAGUAGCAACACUAGCAGUCUAGUACGCAGCAGCAAACACCAACAAGUCUGGUGCACCUUUCAGUUUGCAUAAUUUAAUAAAUUUUAAAGAUAGUAGCAACACGCUACAGACAGUAGUGAAUGAACAUUCCAGGAGCCCUUCCACCUUGCUGCGUAUGAUGCCUUCAUGAACUUGCAGAGUUUUCCUACAUGCAAAUUUUGAAACAAAGAAAGUAAACUUUCAGGUUUCUCUUACAGUAGUGUAGUAGACCUUAAAUAGGAGAAGGUUUAAUAGACAAAAUGGGCAUUGCAAUAUAAAUAGUACAAGAGAAAGAAAACAAAGUUGCAAAAUAAAAAUUACAAGUCUCGGCCAGUAGCCAAGCACCAACCUGCUAGUUGCUUUCCACAAUAGAUUCAGGAAAUGGAAUGAACUCAACAUCAUCAUCAAUGUCAUCUUCCUACAAAGGGAAAUGUAGUUUCAGUUAGGCAGUCCAUUUAGAAGUAGUAUGUCAAAGCUUAUAAGUAGUAGACAACAAAGAGCAACUAAUAUUACCACUAUAGUUGUAGGCCUAAUGUGGUUUUCUUUUGAUCCUUUGAUGAAGCUAGAAGCACAAACAAGUGCCUCAACCAUGCUUGGGAGUAGAGAACUACGGUAGUCAUUGAGAACUCUACCUCCUGUAGAGAAUGUUGACUCUGAUGAAAAACUAGUAGCUGGUAUAGUCAAGAACUUCUUUGCCAUUUUUGCCACAAUAGGAUAUCUAUGAGCAUUCAACCUCCACCAGUCAAGUAAUGUGAAACUUGGAUCAUUAAUGGGAUGAGUCUUGUCUUCAAGAUAAGUAGUCAAUUCAGAUUUGCAUGGCUCCGAAUUUGUCUCCUCGAGAAAGGAUUGAAACCCACUCGACAAUGUGGUCAUAGAUGUAGAUGCUUGCCUACUUGAAAUUGAACUCUGCUCAUUGGUGUUAGAAGCCUCAUGCUAACGGUUUUCCAUCUCAUAUGUGGCAUAUAGAUCAAGGAACUCUGUUUUGAUAUCUUCCAUCUCACUACUACCCCCCUCUUUACCAUACAUUUUCUUAAAACAAUAGUCCACAAGUUUCAUCUUAAAUCUCGGAUCAAGAAUGGUGGCAAUCACCAUAACAUUGUUCUUUACCUUUUUUUUAUCUUUCCGAUUUUUGUUUUCUGGCACAACAGUGCUAUCCCAAUAUUUAUCAAACUUAUUAAGCAUGGCUUCCCCCAUCAUUUUCAAAUUUUCAUCUCCGGACAUAGCAUGCUCUACUAUAGCAAUCUUAACAUUCAUGAUGUAUGGAUAAAAAAUGUUGGUAGUGGGGUAAGUAGAUCCUGAUAGUAUAGUAGUUACCUCAGCAAAUGAUUUCAAGAUGGGUUGAAUUCUGCCAUAUAGUACCCAAUCUUCAUCAUCG
Molecule: long non-coding RNA, 1596 nt
Filed under: Triticum aestivum (bread wheat)
Lineage: Eukaryota; Viridiplantae; Streptophyta; Magnoliopsida; Poales; Poaceae
Description: long non-coding RNA (TAES_LNC020128)
Source: RNAcentral